This 148-nucleotide small RNA is filed under the name Papio anubis (olive baboon). Its description in RNAcentral is "Metazoan signal recognition particle RNA (ENSPANG00000038234.1)". It matches the Rfam family "Metazoan signal recognition particle RNA". Rfam says of the family: The signal recognition particle (SRP) is a universally conserved ribonucleoprotein. Lineage: Eukaryota; Metazoa; Chordata; Mammalia; Primates; Cercopithecidae. The record is from Rfam by way of RNAcentral.
GCUGGGUAUGGUGGCGCAUGCCUGUAAUCCCAGCUACUCAGGAGGCCGAGGCAGGAGAAUCGCUUGAACCCGGGAGGUGGAGGUGACAGUGAGCUAAGAUGGCACCACUGCACUCCCGCCUGGGCGACAGAGUGAGACCUUGUCUCAA